UUUCGAUUAAAUUAAAAAUUAUCAAAAUCGGUACACCCAGUAAAAAGUUAUUACGGAUUUUCGAGAGCUUCCCUCGAUUUCUCUGGGAUCCCAUCAUGAGAUCCUGGUUUCCUUAUCACGGUACCAAACUAGGGAUAUCCCCUUUCCAACAAAAAAAGAAUUAUCAAAAUCGGUACAUCCAGUAGAAAGUUAUGCGGUAUAAUACAACGUAGGUCGACGAAAAAAGCGUCAAGUAAAAACGCAUUAUUAGAUAUAACUCGAAAAGUAGUUGUUAGAUCUCAAAUAAAUUUAAAUGGGACCAAUUGGCAGACACCACCUUUCGAUUAAAACAAAAUUUGUCGAAAUCGGUCUACCCGGUCAAAAGUUCUGAUGUAACUUACAUAACAAAAAAAAAUACAGUCGAAUUGAGAACCUCCUCCUUUUUUGGAAGUCGGUUAAAAAAAGUGUGUGCGUAUUCUUAUGUAUAGUCAUGUAUGAUGGCUAUACAGUGUCUAAUGUAUA
RNAcentral lists this unclassified non-coding RNA (501 nucleotides) under Melitaea cinxia (Glanville fritillary). RNAcentral's name for it is "misc RNA ENSMCXG00005009085.1". Lineage: Eukaryota; Metazoa; Arthropoda; Insecta; Lepidoptera; Nymphalidae. The record is from RNAcentral.